RNAcentral lists this transfer RNA (65 nucleotides) under Blaps rhynchoptera. RNAcentral's name for it is "tRNA-His". The record is from RNAcentral. Lineage: Eukaryota; Metazoa; Arthropoda; Insecta; Coleoptera; Tenebrionidae.
ACUUAAAUAGUUUAAUUAAAAUUCUAAUUUGUGGAGUUAGGGAUAUAAUAGUAUUAUUUUAGGUA